CCAAGGCGAUGAUGGGUAGCCGGCCUGAGAGGGUGUACGGCCACACUGGGACUGAGAUACGGCCCAGACUCCUACGGGAGGCAGCAGCUAAGAAUAUUCCGCAAUGGACGGAAGUCUGACGGAGCGACGCCGCGUGGAUGAAGAAGGCCGAAAGGUUGUAAAGUUCUUUUGCUAGGGGAGAAUAAGUGUGGGAGGGAAUGCCUGCACGAUGACAAGGACUAGCGAAUAAGUCCCGGCCAACUACGUGCCAGCAGCCGCGGUAACACGUAGGGGGCGAGCGUUGUUCGGAAUUACUGGGCGUAAAGGGCAUGUAGGCGGCUUGGUAAGCCUGGCGUGAAAGUCUGCAGCUUAACUGUAGGGAUGCGUUGGGAACUGCUUAGCUUGAGUUACGGAGAGGGAGCUGGAAUUCCUGGUGUAGGGGUGAAAUCUGUAGAUAUCAGGAAGAACACCGAUGGCGAAGGCAAGCUUCUGGCCGACAACUGACGCUGAGGUGCGAAAGUGUGGGGAUCAAACAGGAUUAGAUACCCUGGUAGUCCACACAGUAAACGAUGUGCACGAGGUGCUGGGGCGGUAGUUUCAGUGCCGGAGCGAACGC
RNAcentral lists this ribosomal RNA (595 nucleotides) under uncultured bacterium. Its description in RNAcentral is "bacterial SSU rRNA". It matches the Rfam family "Bacterial small subunit ribosomal RNA", at positions 268 to 858 of the family's 1533-position model. The record is from RNAcentral.